Non-coding RNA from Chiloscyllium plagiosum (whitespotted bambooshark), 2800 nucleotides. NCBI's taxonomy places the organism in Eukaryota, Metazoa, Chordata, Chondrichthyes, Orectolobiformes, Hemiscylliidae. The record is from RefSeq and is a predicted model, not a curated record.
UCUCCUGCUCCUUGGAUGCUGCCUGACCGGCUGCACUUUUCCAGCAACACAUUUUCAGCUUUGACAAGAGCUAGGCAGGUCAUUUCACUCAUCUUUGUUGACUAUCCAGAAAUAUCUGACUUUCCUGUUCCGUUAUCCAACUUUUGCAUCCAUCUCGCUGCGGUGGUUUAAUUUGUUCUAGAUGUAUAUUUUCUAUUUCAGUCGACAUUUUUAAGUGUUACUACAAGGUCAUGUCUCAGUCAAUUACUUUCAGUGGUGAAAACUCAGAAGAAAGUUGCUGAUACAAUGAAGACUCAAACUGGCUAAGUAUCAAUCUUGCGCAUCAUUUUCUGUCGUUGGAAUAUUACAGCCAAAGUCACAGAACAGCUUCUAGUACGUGAAUCAGCCUUACGUGAUCCUUUUUCCUCCUAAACUCUGCCCAACUAUUUGGGAAUUAAUACAAAAAAAAACCUUUUUUAUAGUAGUCCCAGAACAAAAAAACAAUUGGCACCAAGUCAUAAUAGAGCAGGUGGCGAAAAAUUCGGUCGGAGGCAUGAUUUGAGGAUUUAUAGGAAGAGAGGGGGGUGAACGGUUUAAAGAAAUUGAGAUUAGUCAACUGAACGCACUGACCUGUGGGAUGCACCGGUGACCAGAGUCAGAAGCAGAAAUGUAAUCCCAGAGAAAUUUCAGAGAUUAAUAAACAUAAGGAUAAAAAUGUUAUCGUUCUACUCCAUAUAAACUAUACAUUUCAGCAUAGAAACAUAGGAACAGAAAUAGACCAUUCGGUCCCUUCAGCCGGUUAUGUCAUUCAGUGAAAGCAUGGCUGAUUUGUGGUAUAUACCUUUGGCCUAUAUCACUUAAUGCCUUUGCUUAACAAAAAAAAACCAUCUAUCUCAAAUUUAAAUUAACAACUAAUCUAAUAUCAACUGCUCUUUGUGGAAAAGAGUUCCAAAUUUCUACCAUCCCUUGUGUGUAGAAGUGCUUUCUAACAUCUCUUUUGAAUGGUCUGGUCCUACAUUUGAGUGUGCCCCCUAGUUUUAGAAUCCCCAACCAGCGAAAUAUUUUGACUUUAUCUACCUUGUCUUUCCCUGUUAUAAUAUCAAUACCACCCAUAUUGAGCUGUUUUUGCAUUAGAAUUGAUUUUUAAACACAAAUGCAUAAUAUAGCACAAUUUUGUCAUUAAGAUACUAAAACUAAAAAUGGUCUAUGUUUGUUUAAUAUCUAGGAAAGAAUGAUAUAAUUUCAAUUAAAUUGUGCAGAUGGAUUGAAUUUAAUAUGACUUUAUUAAAUCGUUAUUCGUAAGAUAUUUAACCACCUAAAGCAGUUUGCUAAAUCCAAUCCUGCUACAGUUAUGCACACAUAGAUUUCCUGGUUGCAGGUAUUGGAUCAGAGGAACAUCAGCUGAUUUUCCCCCUCCCUGGGCUCAUUGUGGCACAGUAGCAAUACACCUGCCACUGCUCCAACUGAAAUAAAGUUGCUAGUGUGGAAUGCCAAACCCUGAUGAGCCACGUUAGCAUCUAAAUCCUGGAACCUGCAUCAACCAUUCCUGUCCGUGCUCUAUCCAUGUCUCCAAAGUGGCCACAACAAGGAAAUGAGAUCGCACCAUUGAAAUUCAUAAGUACGUACAAUGGCAUUCUGGAUACCGAUGUACUGUAUAGAUCAGUGGUUUCCAACAGAGAAAUUUUCAAGAAGUAGAGUCACAUCCAAGCAUUAAGACCGUGACUAUUCUUCUGAUAUUCUCCAGAGCCUCAGUGUCUAUUAUUGAAGACAAUAUCUGCUGACAUCCGGUGCCCCUAUCAACUGUAAGCCACCAGAGCUAGGGAUGUAUAGACUUCUGGUAUCGUGCACACCAGCAGGCCCAGGUUUCCACUAACCUGGUAAAUUACAAAUUGCUCCACUUUAUGUUUUGCUCUAUUGUUUAUGAAUAGUUAGACAUUGUUGAUGUGAGCAGAAUUUGAAAAUGUGUGUUGUGCUCGCAGUUGGAGAUGGUGUAUUUUUGCUCAUCGAUUUUAUUCCUUUCUUAGUUUGCUAUGUGCAUUAUAGUACAAGCAAGGUGGAUAAUGGGGAUUCUGUCGUUGGAAUGUAUCUAUACUUACAGAGGGCAUUUGAUCCUGGCAGAGGAUUGGUUAAUCAAUAGCAAGCAGAUAUUCGAGAUAAAUGGAUCUUUUUCUUGGUAGGAAAGAUGUAAGUACGUAGUGGCAAAUGUAGUGGGUUCAGUCUUUGGGGCUCCAACUACUUAUAAUCUGAAUUCAUGAAUUAGGUGCAGGAAUAGAAAGUACAAUAGCCAAAUUAGAAGAUGACACUAAAAUAAGUGAGAAAGCAAGUUGCAAUGAAGAAAUAAGAAAUUUAAAAUAGAUAUGAAUGGAAAAAAAUGACAGAUGAAGUUUAAAGUGGAAUGAGUGUGGGAGAUUAUCAAUUUUGGUCAGAGGAACAGAAAGGCAACUUAUUAUCUAAAUGGAGAGAAACUUCAGAAUGCUUUGAAGCAAAGUGAUCUGAGUGUCCUUGCAAGAAUUGCAGAAAACUAAUGUGCAAAUACAGCGGGUAAUAAGGAAGGCAGAUGGAAUUUUGGCAUUCAUUUCUUAGGGAAUAAAAGUGUUGCUGCAACUGUAUAAGACAUUAAUGAGAUUGCAUCUGGAGUAUUGUGUACAAUUUUGGUGCCCUUACUUGAGGAGUGAUAUAGUUCCUUUGGAGGCACUUAAGAGGAAAUUCAUGAGAUUGAUUCCACAGUUUAUCUUAUGGAAAGAUGAUGUGGAGGAGCCGGUGUUGGACUGAGGUGGACAAAGUGAAAAGUCACACAACAACAGGUUUAUUUGGAAGUGCU